UGGGGAAUAUUGCACAAUGGGCGCAAGCCUGAUGCAGCCAUGCCGCGUGUGUGAAGAAGGCCUUCGGGUUGUAAAGCACUUUCAGCGAGGAGGAAGGUGGUGAGCUUAAUACGCUCAUCAAUUGACGUUACUCGCAGAAGAAGCACCGGCUAACUCCGUGCCAGCAGCCGCGGUAAUACGGAGGGUGCAAGCGUUAAUCGGAAUUACUGGGCGUAAAGCGCACGCAGGCGGUUUGUUAAGUCAGAUGUGAAAUCCCCGGGCUCAACCUGGGAACUGCAUUUGAAACUGGCAAGCUAGAGUCUCGUAGAGGGGGUAGAAUUCCAGGUGUAGCGGUGAAAUGCGUAGAGAUCUGGAGGAAUACCGGUGGCGAAGGCGGCCCCCUGGANGAAGACUGACGCUCAGGUGCGAAAGCGUGGGG
RNAcentral lists this ribosomal RNA (418 nucleotides) under uncultured bacterium. Its description in RNAcentral is "partial 16S ribosomal RNA". It matches the Rfam family "Bacterial small subunit ribosomal RNA", at positions 355 to 766 of the family's 1533-position model. The record is from RNAcentral.